GACGAACGCUGGCGGCGUGCUUAACACAUGCAAGUCGAACGGAAAGGCCCUGCUUUUGUGGGGUGCUCGAGUGGCGAACGGGUGAGUAACACGUGAGUAACCUGCCCUUGACUUUGGGAUAACUUCAGGAAACUGGGGCUAAUACCGGAUAGGAGCUCCUGCUGCAUGGUGAGGGUUGGAAAGUUUCGGCGGUUGGGGAUGGACUCGCGGCUUAUCAGCUUGUUGGUGGGGUAGUGGCUUACCAAGGCUUUGACGGGUAGCCGGCCUGAGAGGGUGACCGGCCACAUUGGGACUGAGAUACGGCCCAGACUCCUACGGGAGGCAGCAGUGGGGAAUAUUGCACAAUGGGCGGAAGCCUGAUGCAGCAACGCCGCGUGCGGGAUGACGGCCUUCGGGUUGUAAACCGCUUUCGCCGGUGACGAAGCGUGAGUGACGGUAAUGGGUAAAGAAGCACCGGCUAACUACGUG
Molecule: ribosomal RNA, 468 nt
Filed under: uncultured bacterium
Lineage: Bacteria
Description: partial 16S ribosomal RNA
Rfam family: Bacterial small subunit ribosomal RNA
Source: RNAcentral